AGCGAACGCUGGCGGCAGGCUUAACACAUGCAAGUCGAACGCACCCUUCGGGGUGAGUGGCAGACGGGUGAGUAACACGUGGGAACGUACCCUUCGGUUCGGAACAACUCAGGGAAACUUGAGCUAAUACCGGAUACGCCCUUCGGGGAAGGAUUAUCGCUGAGGGAGUCGGCCCGCCGUCUGAUUAGCUAGUUGGUGAGGUAACGGCUCACCAAGGCGACGAUCAGUAGCUGGUCUGAGAGGAUGAUCAGCCACACUGGGACUGAGACACGGCCCAGACUCCUACGGGAGGCAGCAGUGGGGAAUAUUGGACAAUGGGCGAAAGCCUGAUCCAGCCAUGCCGCGUGAGUGAUGAAGGCCUUAGGGUUGUAAAGCUCUUUCGACGGGGACGAUAAU
This 396-nucleotide ribosomal RNA is filed under the name uncultured bacterium. Its description in RNAcentral is "bacterial SSU rRNA". It matches the Rfam family "Bacterial small subunit ribosomal RNA", at positions 29 to 452 of the family's 1533-position model. The record is from RNAcentral.